AAUGAGCCUGCGAGUUGUGGUGUCUGGCAAGGUUAAGCAAACGCGAAGCCGUAGCGAAAGCGAGUCUGAAUAGGGCGCUUAGUCAGAUGCUGCAGACCCGAAACGAAGUGAUCUAUCCAUGAGCAAGUUGAAGCUAGUGUAAGAACUAGUGGAGGACUGAACCCAUAGGCGUUGAAAAGCCCCGGGAUGACUUGUGGAUAGGGGUGAAAGGCCAAUCAAACUUCGUGAUAGCUGGUUCUCUCCGAAAUAUAUUUAGGUAUAGCGUUGUGUCGUAAUAUAAGGGGGUAGAGCACUGAAUGGGCUAGGGCAUACACCAA
RNAcentral lists this ribosomal RNA (317 nucleotides) under Campylobacter jejuni. RNAcentral describes it as "partial 23S ribosomal RNA". It matches the Rfam family "Bacterial large subunit ribosomal RNA", at positions 614 to 934 of the family's 2925-position model. The record is from RNAcentral. Lineage: Bacteria; Pseudomonadati; Campylobacterota; Epsilonproteobacteria; Campylobacterales; Campylobacteraceae.